This is a non-coding RNA of Drosophila ananassae, 245 nucleotides long. The record is from Rfam. Lineage: Eukaryota; Metazoa; Arthropoda; Insecta; Diptera; Drosophilidae.
ACUUAGCCAAUGCACGGGUUCCAGAUUAAGCUUGCUGCCGAAGCAUACCAUCAAAAUCGGCAUAAAAUUCGCUUAAUAAAGGAGGUGGUUUUAGUACGUAGGCGUCCCGGGACUUGUCUCGGGAUGAAUCGUGCAUGCGUAUAAUUGGGAUCGAUAACAAAUACCAACUAAGUUAUUACUAAUAUAUCGAAAUACAUAAAUAUCCCGUCCUUACGUAUCUUUGAAGAUUUCCAUCCUCAGCGAAC